AAAUUGAAGAGUUUGAUCAUGGCUCAGAUUGAACGCUGGCGGCAGGCCUAACACAUGCAAGUCGAACGGUAACAGGAAGCAGCUUGCUGUUUCGCUGACGAGUGGCGGACGGGUGAGUAAUGUCUGGGAAACUGCCUGAUGGAGGGGGAUAACUACUGGAAACGGUGGCUAAUACCGCAUAACGUCGCAAGACCAAAGAGGGGGACCUUCGGGCCUCUUGCCAUCAGAUGUGCCCAGAUGGGAUUAGCUAGUUGGUGAGGUAACGGCUCACCAAGGCGACGAUCCCUAGCUGGUCUGAGAGGAUGACCAG
This 310-nucleotide ribosomal RNA is filed under the name Salmonella enterica subsp. enterica serovar Newport. RNAcentral's name for it is "bacterial SSU rRNA". It matches the Rfam family "Bacterial small subunit ribosomal RNA", at positions 1 to 307 of the family's 1533-position model. The record is from RNAcentral. Lineage: Bacteria; Pseudomonadati; Pseudomonadota; Gammaproteobacteria; Enterobacterales; Enterobacteriaceae.